AGUUUGAUCCUGGCUCAGGAUGAACGCUAGCUACAGGCUUAACACAUGCAAGUCGAGGGGCAGCAUUGGAGUAGCAAUACUUCAGAUGGCGACCGGCGCACGGGUGAGUAACACGUAUCCAACCUGCCGCUUACUCGGGGAUAGCCUUUCGAAAGAAAGAUUAAUACCCGAUGGUAUAAAGAGUUCGCAUGUUCUCUUUAUUAAAGAAUUUCGGUAAGCGAUGGGGAUGCGUUCCAUUAGAUUGUUGGCGGGGUAACGGCCCACCAAGUCUACGAUGGAUAGGGGUUCUGAGAGGAAGGUCCCCCACAUUGGAACUGAGACACGGUCCAAAUCCUACGGGAGGCAGCAGUGAGGAAUAUUGGUCAAUGGACGAGAGUCUGAACCAGCUAAGUAGCGUGAAGGAUGACUGCCCUAUGGGUUGUAAACUUCUUUUAUAAGNGGAAUAAAGUGAGGGACGUGUCCCUUUUUGUAUGUACCUUAUGAAUAAGGAUCGGCUAACUCCGUGCCAGCAGUCGCGGUAAUACGGAGGAUCCGAGCGUUAUCCGGAUUUAUUGGGUUUAAAGGGAGCGUAGGUUGACGUAUAAGUCAGCUGUGAAAGUUUACGGCUCAACCGUGAAAUUGCAGUUGAUACUGUAUGUCUUGAGUGUACAAGAGGUGGGCGGAAUUCGUGGUGUAGCGGUGAAAUGCUUAGAUAUCACGAAGAACUCCAAUUGCGAAGGCAGCUCACUGGGGUACAACUGACACUGAGGCUCGAAAGUGUGGGUAUCAAACAGGAUUAGAUACCCUGGUAGUCCACACAGUAAACGAUGAAUACUCGCUGUUUGCGAUAUACAGUAAGCGGCCAAGCGAAAGCAUUAAGUAUUCCACCUGGGGAGUACGCCGGCAACGGUGAAACUCAAAGGAAUUGACGGGGGCCCGCACAAGCGGAGGAACAUGUGGUUUAAUUCGAUGAUACGCGAGGAACCUUACCCGGGCUUGAAUUGCAGAGGAAUAUAGUUGAAAGAUUAUCGCCGCAAGGUCUCUGUGAAGGUGCUGCAUGGUUGUCGUCAGCUCGUGCCGUGAGGUGUCGGCUUAAGUGCCAUAACGAGCGCAACCCUUAUCAUUAGUUACUAACAGGUCAUGCUGAGGACUCUAGUGAGACUGCCGUCGUAAGAUGUGANGAANGUGGA
RNAcentral lists this ribosomal RNA (1169 nucleotides) under uncultured Bacteroides sp. RNAcentral's name for it is "bacterial SSU rRNA". It matches the Rfam family "Bacterial small subunit ribosomal RNA", at positions 10 to 1177 of the family's 1533-position model. The record is from RNAcentral. Lineage: Bacteria; Pseudomonadati; Bacteroidota; Bacteroidia; Bacteroidales; Bacteroidaceae.